GAUGAAGAACGCAGCAAAAUGCGAUAAGUAGUGUGAAUUGCAGAAUUCAGUGAAUCAUCGAAUCUUUGAACGCACAUUGCGCCCGCCAGCAUUCUGGCGGGCAUGCCUGUUCGAACGUCAUUUCAACCCUCGACCUCCCCUUGGGGAGGUCGGCGUUGGGGACCGGCAGCACACCGCCGGCCCUGAAAUGGAGUGGCGGCCCGUCUGCGGCGACCUCUGCGUAGUAAUACAGCUCGCACCGGAACCCCGACGCGGCCACGCCGUAAAACACCCAACUUCUGAACGUUGACCUCGAAUCAGGUAGGACUACCCGCUGAACUUAAGCAUAUCAAUAAGCGGAGGA
RNAcentral lists this unclassified non-coding RNA (343 nucleotides) under soil metagenome. Its description in RNAcentral is "partial contains 5.8S ribosomal RNA, internal transcribed spacer 2, and large subunit ribosomal RNA". The stretch from base 1 to 120 matches the Rfam family "5.8S ribosomal RNA", at positions 35 to 154 of the family's 154-position model. The record is from RNAcentral.